RNAcentral lists this long non-coding RNA (14370 nucleotides) under Marmota monax (woodchuck). The record is from RNAcentral. Lineage: Eukaryota; Metazoa; Chordata; Mammalia; Rodentia; Sciuridae.
UGAACUUCUAAGCUGUGAUGUAAGUAGCUAUGUAAAACCAUUUUUAUCUUCUUUAUUGGUAUUCAGACCUCCACAGCUUAUUUACCUCUGCUGCUGCUGUGUCUAUGCAUUGAUUUAACAGGAUUUAGUGGCACACCAUUCGUUUUUUGCUCUUAAACAAUCCCCAAAUACCUUCCAGAACUAAAAUAGAUAAUUACAGGCACCAACUAGCAUAGCAAUGUGUUAUUAAUGUUUUUAAACCAACAUCUCUAAUACAUUCGUUUGGGUUUGUGAAAUUGCAGACAUGUGGAAAAUACAUACUAGAAUAUUAGGGCAAUUUAUUUUUAAGAAAGUGCUAAUUUAUUUAUUAACAAUUUAAUAAAAUUCUUAUGUCUGCAAUCGCCAAGGGCCAAGAACAUUAUUUUUUACAUGCCGGAACACAAAAGGAAACACGCCUUUACAGAGAAAUUUACUCUAUAUUUUGGCUGUUGGACUUCAGAGCAAGAAACAGAAAGUAAUUUAAUUGAAAGUAUUUUUUCUUAAUGUGAAAUACUUGAACUCUCAAAAUAGGAUAGUAAAACAUGUUUUAAUACACAUUGCUUCUAAUAACACUGGAUGAUUGUGACAAUCUUUGAUAUGAAUACCCAUCUUUUCUUAAACACAGUUAUGAAAUUCAUAUUUUGCCUGAAUUCAUAAUGUUAAACUUUCCUUCAAUGAAAAAUAAAGGAAUUUUCUGUUAUUUUGUGUCUAAAACUUGAGAGAACCCUCUCUUCUACUUAAAAAUUUUAUUUAUAUUUUUAGCAUUUUUGACAAAAUAAGUAGAACAGAAAUAAUUUCAAGUUUUAUGAAGAUGUAUAUCCUAUCUGUGUAUCCUCACUGUAUGAAAUAACAUAAAAGUGAUUGUUACUUUUCUGUUGCCUGUACACUAUAUUAAUAUACUGUGUUAAUAAAGUUAAUAUAGAACUACUUGUUUUUGAAGGAAAAAAAGAAAGUUUUAAGUUCUGACACAAAUUGUUUUUAGAUACUUAUAGACUUUAUAUUUUUUUUCUAAAAACCAUUAAAGUUAUGCUUCUUUUUUGAAUUUUUCUAUCACAUUGAUUUUAAUGUAAAUACCUGUUUUAUCUUUUGACCACAAUGCAUCCUGAUUUCUAGCAUUACACAUUAUUGAAAUGAUGUUGGUCAUGAUAUUUAUUUAUUUAUUUAUCUAUUUAUUUAUUUAUUUAUUUGUGGGCAGAGUACCAGGGAUUUAACUCAGGGGCACUUGGCCCUAUUUUGUAUUUUAUUUAGAGAUGGGGUCUCACUGCAUUGCUUAGCACAUCAGCCUCCCAAGCUACUGGGAUUACUUACAGGCAUGCACCACGGUUACUGAUCUGGUUAUUAUUUUUAAAAGAAAAUGUUUUUUAUGGAGUUUGAAGAGAAUUUACUACAAGUUAUUCAGUAUUUAUCUCUUUUGGAAGAUGUUUUGUUUCCCAUCGAAAAAUUUUUCAAUACCUAUUUGUAUAUCAGUACCUAGAAUAUAAAUCCAAAUGAUUUUUAGAAAUAACAAUAGCCCAUGAAUUUACACAUCUGCACCUCACAGAGUUUUUCAGUAAGAACAAUGAAACUAUAAUUCCCACCAAAUUAUAUUCCAACAAAACAGGUGUUACAGGUUUUCUUAGAAUCCAUCUAUUUCAAAUCCCUCGGUUUUUAUGUAAGUUGAUUGAAUUCCACAAAGAUGAAGUCAUUUGUCCACUACCACAUAAACUUUGUGAGAGUGUGUACUCUGUGUAAAAAGUAAUAUGUUCUUAAAAGAAGGAAAAGGAAACACACUGUGCAUGUCAACUCAAAUAUUCCAUUUUAAUCCGUUCAAUGAAAAGAUGUUUGGGAGACUGAAUUCUAACUUCCUGAAUGACUGAACAUGAAUAUAAAAUGCAACACUAGCAGUGACUACAUGUGAAGAUUGGUUACUGAGGAAUGGAUGAUACUUCUGGGGAAACAGCUAAGCUGUGAACUGUUAUAUCCUAACACUGUAGCUACCAGCAGCCUCUUAUGAAUAUGCCCAUCUGUGCCUUAUACUUUUCUCAUUUCUACAAAAUUUCUUAUGUCAACAGUGUUUAUAUUUCUAAACAUGUAAAUAAAAAUGAAAAAUUAAACCAUAGAAAAUAGAAUUCCUCCUAAAAUAUUAGUUUUUUCUAGCUUGUUUUUAUAUAUGACUGUAAAAGCUUAAUGUAUUUGACUGUAUUGAAUUAAGGAAUAAUUCUUUCUUGGCAGUGAGUCUUUAAAGAACCCACUUAUAUAAGUCUAUAUUAUUAUUUGAGUAGUUGUUUAAAAUAGAAUAGGAAUCUGUUUUAAAGAUUUCAUGUUUCACAUUUCCUACUGAUGCAUUCAAAGGCAUAUUAAUCAGAAUCAACAAAUAAAAAUGUAUGAAGGCAAGUGGAUAUAACUUUAUUAAUAGGGCAUUUUGUAUGUAAAAAAUUGGGGAGGGAAAUAUUUUAAAUAAACAAGUUAUAAAUAUGUAAAAUACUUUAAGAAUGAUGAGUUACAUUACUAUUUGGAAGUAUGUGAUUCAUCUAUAUUAUAAUUUCUCCCAUGACCAGAAGACAUUUAAUAUACUUCUAAAAUAUUAUUGAAUAUUUCUACAUAAAAAAAUAAAAAAUUAUUAAUUAUUCAAUUUCAUACUGUUUUAUAUUUUUGAUGUAUAUAUUUAUAUUUUGAUUUUGAUUUUAUAAUUUUAUUUUAUAAUCUUGUUUUAAUGUUUCAUUUUUAAUUUUAUAUUCAAUUUUUACAUUCAAUGUUAAUUUUCAAAAAUAUAGUAUAUAUAGAUAUGUGUCAUAUCUAUUUAUAAUUUAAAAGCAGUGCUUAAAAGAAGAAAAGGAAAAAUCUUGUAGAAAUCUUGUUCAUUAUGACUGGUAAUUAUAUUCCCUUAUCGAAUAAAGCUUUCUUUAGCUGCCAAUAUUAGCCAUAAACUGUUCUUUACUGAUCAUUCAGGAUAAUGUUUCAUGGGUAUAAAUGUUAGCAUAUAUGAGACCAUGAGACUACGAGUCAUCAUAAAUAUCACUAUUUAAAAAGAUCAUUGUUGCUACACAUUUUGAAUAAGGUACAAAGAAAAAUUUACUCACUAAAAAUCCACUGUAGUGAGUAAAUUUAAAGGUCUGUGCAGUAAACUUCUGUCCUAAAAAGAUUUAUCAGGAGUUUUGAAACUAAUGUUAGUGUACAAUAUGCUCUGAUUUCUAAAGCACCUAGUACAAUUUUUUUUAUAAAACAAAUUAAAGUGUCUCAGCACAGGCCCAUAAUUAUAAUACUUCUGUGAUGAUGAAAAUUGUUAAAUAAAUGAUGAAUGUGUCUUAAAUAAUCAAUGCCAAUUUAACCCUGUUCACCUUCCUCUGUCUGCUCAGGCUUAGUUUAUUGAAAGAUCAAAGAAUAAUUUCUUAGGUGUCACUUGUGUUAUUAAAACAUGAUGGAAGAUGAAUAGAUAUAGUCAAGUAGCAAUGUUGCCCAUUAUAAAAUUACAUUAACAGGCAGGGAAGAUUUUUCUGAUUGCAUCAAAUAUAAAAUAUAUAUAUAUAUGCUUCAACAUAGCACAUAUGCUAUUCAUAAAUAUUUUAUAGCUUGAAUUACUGAAAAUAACUUUUGAUUAGAAUAUUUAAGAGAAAAUAGGCAAAAUACUAUAGUGAAGAACUUACAUCCUGAGAGUAGGAAAAUUCCACUACUUUUAUUAAUUUAACAUGUUAAUAAUAGUAUUUUUCUUGCUUGUUAGGUUUUAUAGAAGAUUUUUAAAUAAAUUUUAUUCUUUUAAGUAUAAAUUUUCCUUUCAAUUAAUGUAUAACUUUGACUGAAUAGUCACAAAAAUCUCUAAAUUUCUGUUUAAGCCAAGCGUGCUAGUUUUAAGUAAAGAGAUUUACUACUUUCAUUGCAUCAACUUUUAUUAUUAGUGUUUUACACUGAUAUUUAAUGUUCACUAGUCUUGAACUUGAAAGGUAUUAUUCACCUUUUUUAAGUGCUUUGAAGCUAUCAGAUAGUUCAUUAAAUAGUAAAUUAUUAUUAAUUUAUAUUAGUCUAAAUAUCAUUAGUGGUUUUUAUGUGUCCCUUUAAAAUUGGUCAGAUUGUGGUAUCACACAGUCAGGUCUAAAAAAAUCAUGAAUCAAUUUUGUAAUGGAUGUUCAUUCCUUUGUUUGUUUUUGAAAUAUUUUAAUGUACUUUCCAAGUGAUAAGAUUUGCUUCACAGGGGCUGGGUUUUUAGCUCAGUGGUAGAACACUUGCCUAGCACAUGUGAGGUACUGGGUUUGAUAUUCAGGACCACAUAAUAAAUAAAUAAAAGUAUUAUACCCAUUACAACUAAAAACUAUUUUUAAAAAGAUUUGUUUUAUAAUUAUUGCUUCUAUUUAUAAGUUAGGAAAAUAAAAAUAAUAAUAAUAAAAUGUGUAUGCUUUAUGAAUGCCCGUAUUGACAAAAUUCUCAAUUGCAAUUUUCUUUGUAUUUUGCAAUCUCUACUACUUUUAUUAGAUUUAAUUUUGCAUGUGCUCUGGCACAGGGUAUUAUGGGGAGUUCUUAAAAAUAUGAAAAUAGAAAAAAAAAUGAAAAUAGUUUAUCAUGUCCUAUUCAUUAAAAAAUAAAAAUGAUUAGCUUUAUUGCAAUUGUUUUAUUAGCUAUUAGAUAGAGAAGGGACUAUUUUUUGUUAUGCUAAUAUUUAUGUUAGCCUUUGCAUUAAGCCCAAUUCUAAGAACUAAAUCACUUUCAAUUAAAGCUCUCUCAUCCAGCUGCUGAUAAACUAGUUUAUUAAAGCUUUCUAUUUAAGUUUCAUUCAUUGCUAUCAUCUUUCCUGGCAUUUGUUAGGGGAAAAAAAAAUCUUUCCACACACUUCAUUUAUUUAUAUUCAUUUAUCUCAGACAUUUCUGUUUAUUUUAUAAAUUUUAAAAAAUCAAAUUUAUAAACUGAGCUACAUUUUCUGAGUUUUUUCUUGGACAUUAUCUUUCAUAUUACAUUUAAGAUAACUUUUAGACAAGAACAUUCAUUAAAAAUAUUAACAUGAUUAUAUGUCACAGACAUGUAACAGGCAUCUAGGCUUAAUAUUUGUUGAAUUAAUGCAUGGAUAGAUUUUCGAAAGUAAUGUUCUAAGGGCAUCACUUUUGAAUAUCUAUUCAUGCACUAAUUCAAAAAAUAUUACUAUUUCCCCUAGGAGCCGGUUUCUUCUCUAGGUAUUUGGAAACAUUCUUUAACAAAACAACAAAUAUUCCCACAUGGAGUUUGCAAUUGCUAAGGGCAUACUUACACAAUAAGCAUGAUAUAAUAAAUAAGCAAAUUAUAUAAUACAUUAGAAAGUGCUUACAUGCAAUGUAAGAAAGAAAAAUACAUGAGGAAAUGAUAAUUGGGAGUGUAUCAGGUAGGGGUCAGGACUAUGAUCAAAUUUGAACAGGGUGAUCUUAGUAGGUUUGAGGAUGAUAUGUGAAAUUUGAAGGAGGUGAAGUAAAAAUCAUAUUUAAUUAAAAAAAUUGUAAUGUGAUACAUGAAAAUUCCUCAAAGCCUCUCAGUCAGUAACAGAUUGCUUUACCUUUGCCACAUCCCUAGAUAAGAAUAGUCACCUUCAUUUAUAGGCUAUGAAGUGUGAAAAAAUGCAUUCUGUACUAUUAAACCUAGAAAUGGAUCCAGCAUAUCAACAGACUCAUGCUUGAAAAACACAGCCCCCUGAGGGAAAAAUGACACUCAGGCCUGGAUGUAUAUUCACUUGGCAAAAGCACUGAGGAGAAAGCUGGGCAAGAUCAACCACAGCAUAUAUGCAUUUGUUUUUAUAUGUUUAUUUGGUUUUGUACUGUUUCCUCUUAUCCUUCCUCUUCUUCCUUAUCCUCCUCCUCCUCCCUUUUUCUCCCUCCCACUUAUGUUCACUUUGCUCUCUUCUGAAUAUGCCAUUUAACAAGAGCAGGCAAAGUUGAAUUUAUAUACAUAGUCGUCCUUCAGUAUCCAAGAGGGAUUGAUUCUAAGAAUCCCCAUGGGAUACUCAAACCCUCAGUGUACAUCCUCUUAUAUACUUUAAAUCAUUUCUACAUUACUUAUAAUAUCUAAUAACAUGUAAAUGCUAUGCAAGUAGUCGUUAAAUUAUAUUAUUUAGGGAAUUAUAAACAAAUAAAUCUGCAUAUGUUUAAUACAAAUUUUCUGAUUAUUUAUGAUCUAUUGUUGGUCGAAUCUGUACAGACAGAACUUGUGGAUGCAGAGGGCCAACUGUCCUUUAAAUGUAUAAUCAACCUCAUUGUAUAUCAGUACUUUCUUAUUGUAAGAUGUGCUAAUAAAAGUACACAAAUAUGAAAAUAACUCAAUAAUUAUUUAGUGACAUGAACUAAUAAAUAAAUGGUUAAUGUUUUCACAGUACUAAAUAUCUAUGACAAAUCAGUAUGCUUUGAUUUAUUCAGAAAAAAUCAUACAGAUGAGGAUAUUGCUGUUAUAUUAUCAUUCUAUAUUACUUUUUAUAUCCAACAAUUACUUGGAAAUGAUUACCGUAUGCCAUUUAGAAAACUGCAUAAAAUGCAGAUCAUCAUAGCAACCAGUGAUUUUAAAACAAAAGUGCCAAUAUGUGGUUGCUCUUAUAGCAUCACACUGGGAGCUUCUAACUCCUAUCUUUGAAGCCUGGUCUUCCCUGGAGCGUCUCCAGAUCUUGAAUUCAGUGAUGACUGCAUAGAAUGAGUACCAAUUAACUGUCAACAUAUUGUUAAGAGAAUUUAUGAUUGAUAUCCUUGUAGGAAAAAAAAAAUAGCAAGCCUAGAUGUCAACUAUGAAAGUUUUUAUAAUCAUGAAAAUAUUCAUUAAAAUGAAACAAUGAAAGCACACAGGGAAGGAGAAGAUAGGGAAGUUGAUGGUCAACGUGUAUAAAAUUUCAGUUAGGAAGAAUAAGUUUUGAAAUUACACAGCUGAGAGAGCAUAAUCAACCCUAUGUACUGUAUAUCUUAAAAUAACUAAGAAUAUUAUAUCACAAAAAAAGGAUGAGUGAAGUGAUGGAUAUGUUAAUUAGCUUGAUGUAAUCAUUCCACAUUGUGUAACUAUAUCAAAACACCAUAUUUUAUCCCAUACAUGUAUGCAGUUAUGAUUUGUAGAUUAAAAAUGUGUUUUAAAAGUCUACAUACAACAAUAUUUUUAUAUAGAUUAAACUAUUAACCAUUGAUAUUUAUAGAAACUAUGUUGAUUUAGGGGUAGUAUUGGUAAUAGAGGGGAAAAAAACAUAUAUUCAUUGAAAAAAAUGUUUCCCAGUUUGUCUAAUUCCAAAUCAUAGACUUCUACUUGUAUAGGAAAUCUAAAUUUACUUCCAAAAUAUUCUAAUAUUUCCUUUGAAUUUAGAAGUUUUUUCCAGUAAAUAGUGUGCUAAAGGGCAUUGCAUAAUGAGGCCAUUCUGAAGGAAGUUUUGCUCCUCUUUGGGGGAAAAACACAAAGUAUAGAUUCCUAAUUUCUCAGUGCCUAUUUACGGUAUGUUAUGCAAUCAUAGCUAAUUAGAAUAGGUAUUAAAUAGUUCUAAGACUUUGAUCAGGUACAAGUUUAAAGUAAAUCUCUGUGGAUUUAUUUUAUAUGAAUUCUUUGCCAUCAAAAGUGCUAUUUUCUUUUGAUAUGGUCUAUAUUCAGAAAAAUCUGCAAAAGCAAAUUCAUCUUUGAAAUAUGUUUGUAUAUUUCAAAUUAUAUAUAUUUUUGAAAUAUAUUUGUAUCAUUUCAAAUUAUAUGUAUUUGAUAUAAUAUAUAUAUAUAUAUAUAUAUAUAUAUAUAUAUAUUUCAUAUUACCUCAAAUAUGUGUGUGCAUGUGUGUAUGCACAUCAAAAUGCAUACUCUGUAAAUAAACAAAUACAAAGACACACAAAACUGUAUGAUAUGACAUAGGACUACAAAAAAAUCUACUUUAUUUGCUAUAUUGUUCAUAUUAUAGAAGUUAUUAGGCAUGAAUCUAUUAUUUUUUCUAUGAAUAUAAUAAGAUUUAAUGGAAAUCAUACCACAUAAAUGUGUAAAAUGGUUGCUUAAAUUUUAAUGUGAUUAAACCAUAUUUAUGCAGCUAUUGACUGGGCAUAUUUAUGGCCCAACUUCAUAAUACUUGAUAAAAAUUACUUUUAAAGUGGCUUAUUUUAAAGACAAUAGUCAAAUUUAACUCUAGAAAAAUUAAUCUUUCAACAGGCAACAAUUUUAAAACUAUUAGACAUUCUAAAACAAUAAUAGUACCAAAUUUACCAUGUUAUAUGUAUGACAGUUAUUUUCUUUUUCACGAUACUCUGAAUCCUAGCUUCUCUGUUAUAUCAUGGCUGAGUCUUUGUUUCAGUGGGCUGUCAAAUUUAAUUAAUUAAUUUUUCCCUUCAGCUUUCCUGUUUAGUAGAACUCUGUUCUCUUUGACAACUCUACUGGAGAUUUGUUUAGGAACACAAAAAGGGAUAAUUUCUGUAAAGACAAUUACCCCCUUAAUGGUUUUUGUUCAUCAAAAAGGUUUUCAGAUAUUUGAUUCAUGUUUUGGGAUGUAAGAAUACAUGGUUUAGAUCUUUUGCCAGUGAAAGAUCUGAUUUGAUUUUAGGGGAAAAAAAAACACUGAAAUAUUUAGAUAAUUAGUGUUUCAAAAUAAAGAUGCAAAAUGAUUUGAUAAUUAUAAUUUGAUGAAUUUUAAAUAACCAGAGAGCACUAAAGGGAAAAACAAUUUUAUACAUGGCUUUAUGUUGUAAUCCCAGCAGCUCAGGAGGUUGAGGUAGGAGGAUCCCAAGUUCAAAGCUAGCCUCAGCAACUUAGGGAGGUCCUAAGCAACUCCUCAAGACCCUGUUUCUAGUAAAAUAUAAAAAAGGACUGGGGAUGUGGCUUGGUGGUUUAGCACCCUGGUGUUCAAUCCCUUGUACCAAAAAAAAAAAAAAAAAAAGCUACUUAGAGGUCUUUUGUAAUUAAUGGGAAAGUUACAAGCACUAAGUCUGAAAGAUAAACUUUUCUUCUUUGCAAUAACAUCAGAAGUAUAGCUUACUGUUGUGAGUUUUGAAAUAUGGAACUACAGGAAUUUAUGUUUUACAUGAACCAUAAAAUAAGCAUGAUUUAGAUGAUGUGAUUGUGUGGUCUUCUACAUUUCUAAAAGUUGUUUUUCUUCCACCUUUCCCUUUUUCAUAUACUAAAAUAAACAUAAAAACACUCAAAAACUCAUAUACUCAUUAAGCUUGUCCACUGGAAGACUCUAAAGCAAUAGCUAAAAAUUGCUGACCUGAAACCAUUUCAUGUUUACAAGCCUAACUUUCAUUGUGCAUGAAGCAAACCCAGAGGUGCAUGGAUAAAAGAUUUGCAAUUCUGUGCAACAACUGAUAUGGUACCUUUUUAAAAGAAAAUGCUAUUAAAAAUCAGGUAACUUUCUCCAUUGGAUUGAAGAGACAAAAUGACAAAUGUAAACCUCCUACAUGCAUUCGCACAUGCACGCACAUGCACACACACGCUCACAGAAAGCAGCCGUGAGCACUCCAUUAGUGAAACUAGGUGAGGGCUAUGUGGGUAUUGAUGGCACAUCUUCCCAUUUUUCUUAGGACUUAGAAGUUUUCCCAUUAAAGGAAAAGUCUUCCCUAUUUACAGGAAAAUUAAAAACAUGCACAGUCCUGGACUAAAUCUGGAGUUGGGCAGUCCAACAGUAACAUGUAUUUGUUGGACAUUUGAGGAAGUUUUAACAAGAAUUGCUACUAGAUGAAACUUAUUAACAUGGGCAAAUAAAGGUCAUUACAGGCAGAGAGAGAGAGAGAGAGAGAGAGAGAGAGAGAGAGAGAGAAGAAGAAGAAGAAGAAGAAGGAGGAGGAGGAGGAGAGAACCCAAGUACAGUAAUGUAAAAAACAUCAUGCACUAUAUGGUCUUAUUUUGGAAAAAAAUAAGUAAAAAUUAAUACACAAAGGUUGUUAUAGUGAUCAUCUCUGUUUGGUGGUAUUUUGUUUCCUCCUUUAAUGCUUAUCUCUUUUGUCACAUUUUUUCAAUGAACAUAUGUACCUUUAAAAUAAUAAAAUGUAAUAUCAGUGUAAAAAUAUAUUUUUUAAAAAAGCAAAUUCUUGUUGCUAUAAGGAAUAUGAAAUUAUGUUUGUAUUGGUAUUUAAUUUUUGAGAAAACAAAUAUUUGAGUCUUCUAAAGUAAAUUAUUAAAAAUAAAUGCUAAUUUUUGGAGAGUAUCUAAUAUGAAAAUAUAUUGAAUGCAUUAUACUUUAAAGCUCACAAAUAUUAAUUUAUUUUUGGCUGAUUUUCUUAAUUUAUAAUAUCCCUAGAGCAGUUAAACAUAAAAGGAAUCCUAUUUUUCAAAUUAUCAUUGUUAAUAUGGAGUAGUCAGUGAAAGCUGUUUAUUAUCUUUAUUUCCUUGAAGUCCUCUUCAUAUUCUGGCAACUAAAAAUAACACAGAAAUAUCAUACUUGUUCACCCUUCUUAUGUGGCCAAUCCUAGAACAUUAUAAACUUUUACGGAAAGAAAAAUGUUAGUAUCAUGUAUUUUAGUGACAUUUGUGUCUUUGAACACAUUCAACAUAUUAUGGUAUUUUUCCCUUCAUUCUACCAGCUUUUUUCAAUUAUAUUAAAAGAUGGAUUCAGGUUAAAAUUUUAUGUAAUAUAUGAAUAGUAGGGAACUUUGAAAUGUACUGGAAACUGAGUAUCCUGAUUUUUAAAUUACAUAAAAGAAUAGAGGGAUAUAUUCCCUCUGACUUUUCACAUUUAUUCAAAUUGCAUGUGUACAACAGACACUGAAUAAUAGGCAUCACCUUAAUGUUUAUGUAGUCUUUUAUCUUUUAAAUAAUUUUUAUUUUGUAGGUCUUUGUAUUUUAAAAAUAGAAUGUGUUUGGUUUUCAAAUACACACCUACCUCUGUGUGUAACAUGUGGUUAUGGUCCUGAGUAUAUCAUCCCUUCGUCAUUUAUAGUCACAAAAAAUAUGGUCCAGGAACUGAUAGUAUAGAAGUGAACAACAGACACGCAAAUUACCUGUUUACAAAAGCCUCUUAUUAUGGUGAAUAAAGACAAGCAAUGAAAAAAAAAAAAAAAGAAACUAAAAAAGAACUGUAAACAGUGAUAAGGACCAUUAAGACAGAAAGCAAGAAGGUGAGAUUAUGAGCAACAAGGGAGAACAGAAGGGGCUAGAAAAGCUCAGGAAUACCUUUCUAAGGAUCUUGCACUUGAGAUAGAGCUGCAGUUCACAUAACCACAAAGAGCAUCUUGACAACAGAAAUCAGAUCACCAAGAAUGAUGGCCUUCCAGUAGUGCCUGGUGCUUUAGGGCUUCCUCACAUUGGUUUUAGUUUGUCUUCUUACUUACAGGUCUAUUUCAAUCUAUACAGCACUAUACAUAAACCUGUAAAUAAAUGAACACAAGUACACAACAUCAUGUUAUGCUUGUAAUUAAACUCACACACAUACGAAAUUUCUCAGGAAGCUUUAAAAGACAAACCACAUUCCUCUAACCAGCAUGCAUGACUGCUAGAAUACUGCCCUUUACUAUUUAUGUGAUUUUAUCUCUUUCUCUUUUCAAACAAAACUGCUUCCACCUAAACUGCUUCAGUAAAGACUGCUAUUCUUUGUUUCAGUUGUUUAGACUUUAUUUUUGAACCGUUUUAUCUCUAUCAACUUUCAGUCAUAUUUGACCUACCUUCUUACAUUUACCAGACAUAUGUAUUUUUAUCUUUUUAAAAUAUUGACAUGUCUUAUAUUUUGACAACCUACUGCUACAUAGGAUGAUUCAUCUUUUCCUAUAUUCACUUAUAUUUCUCCAACAAAAAUUGCACAUUCCAUGCAAGUGGGCAGCAUACUAUUCACUUCUUAGAUAUUGUAUUUCUUUUCAUACGUAUUACCUUUCAAAGUGGAAUUCUUUUUAAAAAUAGAGUGAAUUAUUUUGAAUUGUUUUAAUUACCUGUUACAGUUUUGAUGAAGUUCAGUGAUUUAAGGAUCAUAAUAAUAAUUGCUGCAGAAUAAAAAAAAAAUUUCUUGGAGUUUUGUAUUUAGGACUUUGAAUGGUAACAGUAUUUUACAGAAAUAUCAGGAGAGCCUUGUGAGAUUUACCUAUUAUUUUAUUUUCUUGAAGUUUUCUAUUUGAGGAAUGCAUUAAGAGUUGAGUGAAAUUGUUAUUUUUGAACCUACAUACAAAGCCAAAGAAAUAAAAUAUUGCUUAUUUUCUUCUGUUUUCCAUAUUAUGUUUUGUAGUAAAAUAUAUUUAAUUAGAAGUUGGGAGUUUGUAAACAUUAUUAAUAUAUUCUUUACAAAUAUUAAUAAUUUUUACUAGAAAAAUCAUUAACAAUGGUUUUAUGUUGGUCUGUUUUUAUUUAAAUGUUUUAAAUCUUCAUUUAAAAUUUCAUUUCAUUUUAUUAAUUUAUCAUUCAUUUCUUUUUUGUUUUCUUCUUUUCAAGGCCCUGUGGAAUCCUACAUGCACUGAAGUUUUAUUUAAACCAGUACAUAUUUCAACCUAGGCUAAAUCAUUAUUUGACCACAAGAAAUGCAUUACUAAUCUGUGACAUUAAACAAUGAGUAAAAUGAAUUUUUCUAUUAUUCUAUAUGUUAACUGUUUCUCAGAAUAUGUGAUACAAAAAUGUUUUCAUUCCAGAUACUUUAUACUUUUUGUAUUUGUAAAUAAUCACACAAACUUUUGAUGAAGAGUCAACUAAUAUAUGUCUGUUUUAUUCCUAUUCUAUUUUAAAAACAAAAAUAUACUUUUAUAUAGAAAUUACUUCUCUAUGCAAAUAUUCUAAAAUGUAAUAUUCCACUUGGCAGUAAAUGUUGUUACUCAACCUUCUCAUCCAUAUCAUUUGUCUCUCUGGUGAUAGUUUUCAUUUUUUUCAUCAUGUAUUCUAUGAAGAGUAGAUUAGUUUGAAAACAUUGCCUUAGUUUCUCCCAUCUUAGUGGGAAAAUUCCUACUGAAUAACUAAUUUAUCUGAAACCUCUUUUCUCUUGUGUUAAUAUAAAAAUAGUGUUUUCAAAUGGAAUAUGUAUUGAAGAGUCUUAACUAUAGUAUAUAUUAAAAAAAAAGAAAUCCUACUCAUAACCUUAUAGAGUUGAAGAAAUGCUUAUUGGCUACUGACCUCACACUGAAAGAUGUUUCUUUAAUGUGUCAUAAAAGGGUUUCUGUAUCCUGAACUUGGUAUUGCUCCCCAAUUUCUUUUGUUUCCUGUUUACUGCCUUUCUGUAAUAGCUCAUUUUAGUUAUCAAACAGCCAGGUGGCUACAAGGCACUUCUGAAUGACUCACUGUUGUGGGAACUGUGCAGGACAAUAGGAGAGCCAAAGAGCUCAGGACAGGACAGCACAUUUUCUAUCUCACAUACAAGCCAUGAAAUAGCCAUGGUUAAUGAUGGUAACAUUCAGAAAUACACAAUUUAUUGAAUUAUUUGAGUUAUUAUGUAACAUAUAAUAUGAAUAAUCAGAUGCUGGGCAUAAACCAUGCUAUUAAAUAAAACUAUAAAUGUAUUUAUUUAUACUGCCACAUGAUAUGUGCUUUUGUUGAUUUCACCCCUUAAAGCAUCCUUUUAGAAUCCAAGAUACAAAAACAUUUUUUAUUUCUCCAAUUGUUUUCAUAAUUUAUUAUUUUUGUCUCAUUUUUAAUUGUCUUAUUUUGAGUAUGACAUUUUUUUAGUGCAGAUAAUGCAAAACUCCAUCAUCUUAAGUAAAACAUUUGCCAGAUAAAGAUGUUGAUUAAUUUCAAUGGUCAAUAGUCUUUUGAAGAAGAAAGAAUACAAAUAUGAUAUUUUGACUAGGCUACAGAGAUAAAAACAUAUUUGCAAGAGGAGUAAGUCAAGAAUGCUAUUUUCACAAAAACAAGGUAGCAUAAACUGUCAUACAUAAACUNUUUUUUUUUUUUAAUUUUUAUUGUUGGUUGUUCAAAACAUUACAUAGUUCUUGAUAUAUCAUAUUUCACAAUUUGAUUCAAGUGGGUUAUGAGCUCCCAUUUUUACCCCAUAUACAGAUUGCAGAAUCACAUCAGUUACACAUCCAUUGAUUUACAUAUUGCCAUACUAGUGUCUGUUGUAUUCUGCUGCCUUUCCUAUCCUCUACUAUCCCCCCUCCCCUCCCCUCCCCUCUUCUCUCUCUGCUCCCUCUACUGACAUUCGUUUGUCCCCCUUAUAUUAUUUUUCCCCUUCCCCUCACUUCCUCUUGUAUGUACUUUUGUAUAACUCUGAGGGUCUCCUUCCAUUUCCAUGCAUUUUCCCUUCUCUCUCCCUUUCCCUCCCACCUCUCAUCCCUGUUUAAUGUUAAUCUUCUUCUCAUGCUCUUCGACCCUACUCUGUUCUUAGUUACUCUCCUUAUAUCAAAGAAGACAUUUGGCAUUUGUUUUUUAGGGAUUGGCUAGCUUCACUUAGCAUAAUCUGCUCUAAUGCCAUCCAUUUCCCUGUAAAUUCUAUGAUUUUGUCAUUUUUUAAUGCAGAGUAAUACUCCAUUGUGUAUAAAUGCCACAUUUUUUUUAUCCAUUCGUCUAUUGAAGGGCAUCUAGGUUGGUUCC